AGAGUUUGAUCCUGGCUCAGAUUGAACGCUGGCGGCGUGCCUAAUACAUGCAAGUCGAGCGAAUCUUUGGGAGCUUGCUCCUAAAGAUUAGCGGCGGACGGGUGAGUAACACGUGGGCAACCUGCCUGUAAGACUGGGAUAACUUCGGGAAACCGGAGCUAAUACCGGAUAAUCCUUUUCCUCACAUGAGGGGAAGCUGA
RNAcentral lists this ribosomal RNA (200 nucleotides) under uncultured bacterium. RNAcentral describes it as "partial 16S ribosomal RNA". It matches the Rfam family "Bacterial small subunit ribosomal RNA", at positions 8 to 204 of the family's 1533-position model. The record is from RNAcentral.